Molecule: long non-coding RNA, 412 nt
Organism: Crotalus tigris (Tiger rattlesnake)
Lineage: Eukaryota; Metazoa; Chordata; Lepidosauria; Squamata; Viperidae
Exons: 3
Source: RefSeq, a predicted model, not a curated record
CACCCACUUUCCUAACCCGUCUGACUGCCUUCUGGUACGAUAUGUCAACCACAGAUUUAAAUUGCUAGUUGAAAAAGGUGUUUCUAAGGCAAGAUUAGAGUAGAUCUUGGUCUGCUGUCAUGGUCCAUUGGAAUGACUUUGGAAGACAUCAGGGGGAGCAGCAGAUUGGACAACCAUAUAAAAGGCUGAAUAAUCUUCCCUGCUGUGGAAAGCCAAAAUGAAAACAUUCCUUCAGCCUUCUUUCAACAUUUAUGAAGAAUUGCAUGACUCACAUAUGUAAAUAUAUCCUGUCUUCCUAUGGAAAUGAGAUAGGCCACCCUUGCAUGGAUUCCUUCUGGUAAAAGGGCUAUUAAUGUAUCCAACAAAAUACAAAUUAUAGUUUGUGGCAAAAAAAAUUAAAGCACAAUAUGCA